UGCGUAGGCGGGCUAAUAAGUCAGUGGUGAAAUCUUUCGGCUCAACCGAGAAACUGCCAUUGAUACUGUUAGUCUUGAGUUCGGUUGAGGUAGGCGGAAUGUGUAAUGUAGCGGUGAAAUGCUUAGAUAUUACACAGAACACCAAUUGCGUAGGCAGCUUACUAGACCGACACUGACGCUGAGGCACGAAAGCGUAGGGAGCGAACAGGAUUAGAUACCCUGGUAGUCC
This 229-nucleotide ribosomal RNA is filed under the name uncultured bacterium. RNAcentral describes it as "partial 16S ribosomal RNA". It matches the Rfam family "Bacterial small subunit ribosomal RNA", at positions 568 to 796 of the family's 1533-position model. The record is from RNAcentral.